Molecule: RNA transcript, 2213 nt
Organism: Prunus mume (Japanese apricot)
Lineage: Eukaryota; Viridiplantae; Streptophyta; Magnoliopsida; Rosales; Rosaceae
Gene name: Major facilitator superfamily protein
Source: RefSeq, a predicted model, not a curated record
UGAACAGAAGGCCCGCGAAUCGAGCGUUCAUUACUUUCAGUUGAAGUCACGAAGGAUAAUCGAACAUACUCAAUACGACGACGUUUGGAUUGUCCGCUACAGUAGUAUGCUGCAGAGAGAAAAUAGUUGCACUGAGUCACAGACUCACAGACUUACAGUUGCCGGCAGACCCCAAUUCCAGUAAUGAACGUCGACGUUUCAAAUCAUCUCCAAAUUCCAAUCCAUUUAGAUCUCAAGCUCGAAUUCGAACUGGUUCAAAUCUGCACCAAUGCCUCAAGCACACUGGUUCCAAUCUCUGAGAUCCGAAGCUUCUCAUUCUGAUUGAUUCGAAUAAAAGCAAUAUUCACAUGGGGGUGGUGAUUGAAAGCUCUGUUUGGGAGCCAAAUCCUGGCCUUUACAUAUUCAUCUUCUUCGCCUCUCUCUUCUCCAUCCUCGCCUUCCCUUACGCUUCAAACAAGUACAGCAGCACUGGCAGCAGCAGCAGCAGCAGCUCCAGCAAAGCUCCGUCGCUCUUCGACCAUGGAAUCUCCCCCACCGCCUCCUCUCUCCGCUUCCAGAGGAACUUCCUUCUUAUCUAUUCUCUGGCCUCAGUAAUGGAGGGACUGUGGUCUGUAUUUGGUGAGUUUGAGUUAGCUUACUACGGUUUAAGCAGAGAGCAAAUGAUGUUUUCUCUCUGUGUUGGAUUUGCAGCUUCUCUUUUAAUUGGUUCCUUCUUAGGCGUACUUUCUGAUUUAAUAGGUCCAAAGAAAGUUUGUUUCCUCUUUUGCAUUCUACACCUCUUUCUUGGCUUGUGGAAGAGAAUUAUUGAUCAUCCAAGUGUUUUGGCGGCGAGUAUUUGUUUGUCUCUCGCAGCUUCGAUUUUUUCUUUCAGUUUCGAGACGUGGAUGGUAGUUCAACAUGAAGAGCAAGGGCACAGGCAAGAUAUGUUGAGUGAGACUUUUUGGUUGAUGAGUUUCUUUGAGUCCGCAUCUCUCAUUGGAAGCCAGGUGCUUUCAAAUUGGCUCAUUGGUAAUAAUGUGGACAAAAACAUGGCAUCCCAUUCCACUGCAGCCAUCUUUUUGGCAAUAAUUGCCUUGGUUUGUCUUCUCAGAGGAUGGACAGAAACCCCACAGAAAGUAGCUCUUAAGGAGUAUAGGGCGUCUUUCUCUACAUAUGUUUUUGGUGAUAAAAGAAUAUGGCUUUUGGUGUGGGCACAGGCUUGCCUUCACUUCUCUGUAGCAGUCUUCUGGAUACUAUGGGCCCCUACUAUAGUGGCUGAUGGACGAGAAGUGCACCUAGGGUUGAUAUAUCCAUGUUUUUUGGGCUCAAGAAUGCUUGGAAGCACAAUAUUUCCGUGGCUCAUUAGUGGACUGUCAUCCCUGAGAACUGAGGAUUGCCUAGUAUUUGCAUUCAUUAUAAUGGGGCUUGUAUUGUCCAUAACAGCGUAUGAUUAUCAGGAAAUUGGAGUAUUAGUGACAUUAUUUUGCAUAUUUCAUGCCGGUCUUGGCAUGAUUUUUCCUUCACUAGCCAGAUUGAGGACAAUGUAUGUGCCUAAUGCACUGCGUGGGGGGAUGAUAAGCCUUUCUCAAGCCCCAGCAAAUGCAGCAAUUCUGCUUUUUCUGGUGCAAGGAAAAUACUACAAUAACAUCGGGAACUCAACAAUCAUAGCGUUUGCUGCCCUUGGACUAUUCACAGCAGCUGGUUGCAUGCAUGUCUUGAAACGAUGGGGGAAGCAACCAUAUCAGAACUGGCAUAAACUCUGAUUUUAUACCAAAUCAUCAGCGAGCUUAUUGGCUGAGUUGGUGAGUUCUGGAGAUCAUUACUGACUAGCAGAACUGAGUAUUUCUAAGAAUUUCUGUGCCUCUGAAUUCCACCUGAGGAAUCAACUGAAUGACUAUGUGCAAGACGGAAACCAGUUAUCGGUUCCUUGUCACCGAGUUCAAUUCAAGUUGCCAAACCCAUCUGAGCCUCUUAACUUUCUGGGCAGGUCUGGUGGUUAGGCCGGAGAAGAUGGGAUUUACAUGUUUACCAUCAGCCCUCCGCGCAGUUUAGGGAUUUAGACCUCAGCAGUAGAGGCGAGAACUGCAAGUUUUUGUGAUCCUCAUUUUGAAGAUUUGUUUGUAAGUUUUGCACUAAACUGACACAAUUAGCAGUUUAGUUUGGCAAAAUUGUACUUAAAUUGUGGAACAGAAUGGAAAUGUCUAAAUUAUUGCCAGAUUUCUUUGAUGAUUGGA